This 468-nucleotide ribosomal RNA is filed under the name uncultured bacterium. RNAcentral describes it as "partial 16S ribosomal RNA". It matches the Rfam family "Bacterial small subunit ribosomal RNA", at positions 28 to 507 of the family's 1533-position model. The record is from RNAcentral.
GACGAACGCUGGCGGCGUGCUUAACACAUGCAAGUCGAACGGAAAGGCCCUGCUUUUGUGGGGUGCUCGAGUGGCGAACGGGUGAGUAACACGUGAGUAACCUGCCCUUGACUUUGGGAUAACUUCAGGAAACUGGGGCUAAUACCGGAUAUGAGCUCCUGCUGCAUGGUGGGGGUUGGAAAGUUUCGGCGGUUGGGGAUGGACUCGCGGCUUAUCAGCUUGUUGGUUGGGUAGUGGCUUACCAAGGCUUUGACGGGUAGCCGGCCUGAGAGGGUGACCGGCCACAUUGGGACUGAGAUACGGCCCAGACUCCUACGGGAGGCAGCAGUGGGGAAUAUUGCACAAUGGGCGGAAGCCUGAUGCGGCAACGCCGCGUGCGGGAUGACGGCCUGCGGGUUGUAAACCGCUUUCGCCUGUGACGAAGCGUGAGUGACGGUAAUGGGUAAAGAAGCACCGGCUAACUACGUG